GAGGGUUUAACUCAGUGGCAGAGCACGUGCUUAGCAUACACGAGGUCCUGGGUUCAAUCCCCAGCACCUCCU
This 72-nucleotide transfer RNA is filed under the name Camelus bactrianus (Bactrian camel). It matches the Rfam family "tRNA". From Rfam's summary of the family: Transfer RNA (tRNA) molecules are approximately 80 nucleotides in length. Lineage: Eukaryota; Metazoa; Chordata; Mammalia; Artiodactyla; Camelidae. RNAcentral also lists the same sequence under 1 other name. The record is from Rfam by way of RNAcentral.